AUGUCACUUUGCAGCCGGUGGGGCCAGGCUGGGAGAGGGCGAGAAGACGCUGGCCUCCCUGCGCCCACCCCCAGCCUACCCUCAUUUCCCCACCCUCAGCGGCCCCAGCUCCUCAGCACUCCCAGCUGGGCGCUCUUGUCAGCUGGUCCCACCCCUGGUGCCUGCUCCUGUCCAAGCCCUGGGGUCCGAGCCUGGAGCUGCCCCCUGGAUCCCGCUGUGCACCUCUGCUGGGACCCAAAGCCAUUGGCGAGUUGUCUUCAGCCACCCAGGUGCAGUGUAUUACACAGUUCUCUACAUGGUAAAAGCCCAGUAUCUGUGUAUUGCUUGGAGAAUCACGGAAGGUCAGACCCAAGAGGAAACUUAAGAGCACUGGUUCUGGGGAGACCACUGGAUACAAUGAGGAGAAUGGAGUCCAGAGGGGAGAGGACCAGCAAUGGUACUCGUCUCUCUUGCCUUGGGACCUUGCCCAUCACCCUGCCGUCAGAGACUGCACAGCAAGGAAUCCUCUCAUUUUGGAAAGAAAGGGCUUACUUCCUGGCAACACCAACAGAAAAACAGCUCCUCCAAGGAAAGAGUCACUAUUAUCGCCCAGCUUCCGUGACCAGGAACUAG
Molecule: long non-coding RNA, 612 nt
Filed under: Capra hircus (goat)
Lineage: Eukaryota; Metazoa; Chordata; Mammalia; Artiodactyla; Bovidae
Description: lncRNA (ENSCHIG00010000392.1)
Source: RNAcentral